This 253-nucleotide ribosomal RNA is filed under the name uncultured bacterium. Its description in RNAcentral is "partial 16S ribosomal RNA". It matches the Rfam family "Bacterial small subunit ribosomal RNA", at positions 524 to 776 of the family's 1533-position model. The record is from RNAcentral.
UACGGAGGGAGCUAGCGUUAUUCGGAAUUACUGGGCGUAAAGCGUACGUAGGCGGCUUUGCAAGUUAGAGGUGAAAGCCUGGAGCUCAACUCCAGAACUGCCUUUAAAACUGCAUCGCUUGAAUCCAGGAGAGGUGAGUGGAAUUCCGAGUGUAGAGGUGAAAUUCGUAGAUAUUCGGAAGAACACCAGUAGCGAAGGCGGCUCACUGGACUGGUAUUGACGCUGAGGUACGAAAGCGUGGGGAGCAAACAGG